ACGAACAUGUGCUUCCACAUCCAGCUUGGGAAUCAAACCUAGACUCUCGUUUUUCACUUGCCUACUUGAAAAUUCAUCUACGAAGUAUAUUUAAGUCUAUAAACACUCGAGUUUCCAAUGAAGAAGUUUCAUUUAUUGAUUCCCGGGCCACCUUGUAUGCAGUUAUUGGAUCUCAUCAUCAUCAUCAUAAUAAGCCCGCCCCCGCGUAUCUCGUAACCUUGACGUACAUAUGCAGAGGCCCAAUGCAAGUGCAGUGGAAGAGCAUUUAGCCUUUCAACUGCUGGCAAUCAUUUUUAGCAAAUGUGCCAUUACAAAGGCGAAUUUAUGUUAUGGCAAAUGUUGAAUCUGGGAUACAAACUCAGCAGCACACAUGGAAUAAUAUUUGAGUCAUAAUUUGAUCAACUAAGUUCAAAGAACAGAGGAGCUCACAAGCAUCGAAGAGCACGUAAUCAGACGAAAUAAACACUUGCGCCUCUAAAAUAGAUAAAAAUAUCUACACUUCAAUAAACAUGAAAAUCAUGGACUUUCGGACAGGGGGAAACGGGCCCGAAACGACCGCAAAAUGUGUUGAAAAUUGCGCAGCAAUGUGAUCAUAAAGCAUUCGCCAUUAAUGACACAACCCGACAGAUACAUCCCAUUGUCAAUAACUUUUACGCGCCGCAGAUUGCCGCCCCGUUCCAAAAUCAAAUUCAAAUUUCCCAAACGAGCCACAGCCACAGCAUCAGCAUGCAUGCACUUGCAGAUAUGUAUAUGUGUAGAUGCCAAUGACGUUACAAUUCAGCGAAAGAGGAGGGCAUUCGGCAACUGGGUGCUGCGGCUGGCGCAAGUGAUGGCAUCCGCCAAAGCGCUGUUCGCCAGCGACUAGCGACUAGCGACUCGCGAAUCGCACAAGACACUCGCACAUCCGUAAAUUUAUCGACAAACAUUUGGACAGCGCCGGGACAGGCGACUGGCGGCGGCGGCGGCGUUGACUAGACAAACUGCGCGAUACGCGCGAGAGGCGCAACAAGCGGUGGCAGCACCAGUGCAGGCAGUUCGAUGCAGCGAACUGGCGGAUCGUUGCUUCCUUUUCAAUUAUUAAGUGUUGCCAACUAUGCGCGAAUGGGCGAUAAACGAGCCGCAUGUGUGUGUGCCUGUGUGUGUUUGUGUGUGCAACUGUGGGGCACUCAUAAUUCGCGACACGUUGCCGCACCUCGCUGCUUGUUGUGUGUCUUCAAUCUUGUGCAAUGGAUCUGUAACUGCAUCCAUGUAGCCAUUUAUUUCGUAUUGCCUGGCAGAUAACUGCCAAUGCAUUUUUUCUUCUCCGUCUUCUUCUUCUUUUUCUUCUUCCUGUGGCGCCACCUUGUUGUGCCGCCUGGCGUAUUUUUCUAUAGCCAACAAGAAACUGUUCGACCAGGAAAGUUAACGCCUCGGGCAUUCGAAUUUCCAUUUGAUAGUUAAUUUACGACAUUUAUAUGCCUUUGGAUGGGUUUUUGGAAUCAGCGCUCAACGUGACAUUUGCAUUCGACUGUUAACUCUCAAUGGUCUAUGAAAACAUAUUAAAAUUAUAGUUUCAAAAAGAAAUGCCUAUGCUAAAUUAUAGAAAUUAAAACAAUGACAUUAAAAACAUUCUUAAUUUCC
Molecule: long non-coding RNA, 1620 nt
Organism: Drosophila montana
Lineage: Eukaryota; Metazoa; Arthropoda; Insecta; Diptera; Drosophilidae
Exons: 3
Source: RefSeq, a predicted model, not a curated record